Molecule: small RNA, 122 nt
Filed under: Tetranychus urticae (two-spotted spider mite)
Lineage: Eukaryota; Metazoa; Arthropoda; Arachnida; Trombidiformes; Tetranychidae
Description: sRNA tetur06g06498
Source: RNAcentral
GCUUGUCAUCUGCUCUGACGAAUCCGACUAGUCUUUCGUUGAUGAUGUCUGUUUCUUCACCUGGUGUUGAAACAACUCAUGGAUUGGCUGGCUUUUGGUGGUUUGUUGGUAAAGUGGCAAGC